Molecule: small RNA, 48 nt
Filed under: Arabidopsis thaliana (thale cress)
Lineage: Eukaryota; Viridiplantae; Streptophyta; Magnoliopsida; Brassicales; Brassicaceae
Description: ATSL071450
Source: RNAcentral
AAAGAAGAAGAAAAGACUGCUCCUUUAUACUUCCACCCUUGUAACUAC